GAGCAAGGGCGUCCAUAAAUUGAAUGACGUAACAUUUGCAUUGAAGGUUGGCAAUAAAGAUUAGUGAUUCUCCGUGCCUUUCAAAUCUCUCUUAUUUUGAUUAUGGCCUCGAACAAGUCACUACAUU
This 127-nucleotide small nucleolar RNA is filed under the name Macleaya cordata. Lineage: Eukaryota; Viridiplantae; Streptophyta; Magnoliopsida; Ranunculales; Papaveraceae. The record is from RNAcentral.